GUCGGCUGCAAGGAAGAGGGCUGGCGCCUGAGCGGGGUCUCUCUCUCAAGAUGCAGGGCAGGUGGAGCCCAUAUUGGACAGCCAGCCCUGUGGACCCCCGUAGCUCACAGCCCUCCCCAGGGCCAGGCAGGCAGGAAGGCAUGCAGGGAUGACGUGGGGAAGCUUCGGUUCCCUCCCAAGGUCAAACCAGUGCCGGGAGCAUGGCUGCUGGGGUCAGCCUCUACCUGGACAGUCCCAGCACUGAGCCCGGCAGCCCCUGCCCCUGCCCCUGCCCCUGCCCUGCCUACCCUGGGCAGGGUCUUCUUUCAGAAGGGCCUCUACAAGCUCCCCCGCACCCCAGCCUGAGCCAGCUGAGGCCCAUGGCUAACGCCAAGCCAUCACUCUGAAGGCCAGCCGGAGGUGCCAUUUCGUUUGACUCAAAGUGUCUCUGCCAGGUGCGGUCACGACCCAGCCAGCACCAGGCAGCAGAUGGAGAGACACUGGCCACACCCUAGAGAAAGAACCUGCAGGGUGAAGUCACCGGAGCCCAACUCCCCACAAGGUGUAUGCACGGAGGAAAGCAUAGGAGAGAGGUCCCCACCAAGUCUGCCUCAGCACCUCCUGCCCACACUGCCUGCCCCUCCAAUGGAGCCCAUGCUGGAUGCUCCAAGGGGAUUUGAUCUUUGAAAGAGAGAAGUCCUUAAGGAAGCACAGCAUCCACCUGGGGAAGGCCACUGCUCUGUGACCCUCGGGGACGAGGUUCGUGGGGCCACACUGCGCAGAGGCGAGGGACAGAAUUGGUCCCCCACUGACCCCUCCACCUUGAACCAAUGCAGGGCAGCCCCUCCUUGACCUCACCUGAGCCUGGGAUUCAGGCCCAGGGUCUUUGUCCACCCCACAUCCACACAGGAGGGGUUCCCGGGGCCCUGGGGGCACCCACUGUACAGUAAGGAAUUAGAGGUCUUCUUCAGCCCCUCUCUGCCUCCACCCCAGAUCCACUUCAGCAAAUCCCCCAGGAGCCCCUCCCCAACAACCCCCAAGGUGGGCCUGGAGGGCUCUGCUGGGCAUUGCCCUGGGGGCAUGUGGGAUGUGAACCCCCACCCCUAACCCUGGAGACACACCUGGAGGGGGGUCCCUGCCCACUUGGCAGCAGCCCAGGGGGGCCCUGCUGAGUGGAGGAAUUGGGGGUUCCAGAUGCAGCUCCCUGCUAGAGCCAGACCUGGCCUUAAAGUAGCUCCUCCAGCAACCUGGAGCAGGUGGGGUGUGGGGGUCCCCUGAACGUGUGUGAACCCAGCAGGGGGUACGUGUGCCCGUCAGGCCUACGACUGCCCUGGGAAGAGCCUGGGAUGGUUCCAGAAGUCUCCGCCUGGUCUACCACAGGACUGUGUGUGGCUGGACUGCAGCCAGAGCUCUGAGCACAGUCCCUGGCAUCACAGAGCCCACCCAGGGCACCCACAGACUGCCCGCCCCAGCCCGGCCCCUGCCUCGGCCCCCUGGCCCAAGCCACUGUUUCUAAAUUCUGUAGAAACAGUCCUGGUUGCCAUAGCAAAGCCACAUGCACUUCCGCAGCUGUUCCCUGCCGUCCCUUAGAACGCUUUUUCCAUCCCAAAUAGGCAGGGUGUGACGUCGAAGGCCCCUGGGGUGUCCCUGGCCUCUGCCUGCCUUGGUCCUCAGAAUCCCCUCAGACCCCAGCAGGCCCUGGUCUGAGGUUGGCUCGACCUCCCUUCCCUCUUAGCACCGAGGCCCAGGACCUCGCCCCUCUCGUCUGCCCCUGCCCGCCACACACAUAGCCCCAGCUCUGCAGAGGCCUCUGAACUCCUCCCACAGCUCUGUCUCUACUGCAUCCACCCAGCCUCCAGGCCUGUCUUGCCCUGGCCAAGCCUCUUCAGCGUCCACAGCUCCCUCUGCUGCAGGGAGGGGGUCCCCCCAGCUGAGCCAAGGCUUUACCCUGACUUCAUAGUAAGGAUGCCUUUUGCUGCCCCUCUAGCCCCUUGGGAGCUGGCAACAUCUCUCAGUCCUUUUGUUCCCCUAUCUCACGGCUGUCUAUUGUGUGGGGACCUGGCUAGCCUAGUCCAGGUGAAGUCCAGAGGGCUUCCUGGAGGACGAGGCUACUGGGAUCCAGAGUGGGGAGAGUAUUCUGGGGCACAGGAAGAGACCCAGCUUCAGAGCACUGAGCUGGGGAGUGUGUUUCUGGUUCUCAUACAAAUCAUGUGGGCCUCGGACUCUCGGAAACAGGUCAUGAGCUUUGCCCAAGAGCCAAGGGCCAGCAGUGCCCUGGCUCAGCCCAUGCGCCCCAGUCCUGGGCUGUGUUCUCAUUUGCUUCCUGUGUGGCUCGGUCUCUCAGGCUCCCUCCUUCCUUCUGCCCAGCAGCAGCGGGGAGCUGACACAAACACUGGCCAGAUGUGGGCCCAAAGAGGCAACAGGAACAGGAGGGCAGAGACCACCAGACCCACUCUAUCACCCAGCGCCCUCAUGCCAGCUGCACAGCUGCCUCCUUCUCCACACCGUCCCAUGCCCCUCAGUCCUGAGCCUCUGUGUGGCUGCCCCCCACUUCCCACCUGGGUGCCUCUAGGGUUGGGUCACCUCCACCCCGAGUUUUUAGGCAGCUGGCCUCCUCCAGCCGGGGGUGUCUGGGUCUGCACGUGACCAGCACCAGCCUCCAGCGCCCACUUUCCCCUUUCACCUGCCCCACCUGGCUGUACCCUCCUCCUUCCGGGAGCAAGGCUGGGGACAGUGGGGGGAUCUAUUGAAGGCCAACGGGUUGGUGGGUUCCUCUCCACAGGUUCCUCCUGCAUGAACCACACUGAGUACCUGGUGAAGUCCCACAACAGCUCUCAGGCUGGGCAUGUGCUGGCCUUCCCUACCUGCCCUCCCUGACCCAGCAGGGUGUCUGUCAGGGAGAUGGUGUGACACCAUGGACAAGGCUCCAGGCACUGGGCUCAGACAGACCUGGGUUCAGAUUCCACCUGCCACUUCACAGCUAUGUGUCUGGGCAAACUGCCGCCCUCCCAGACCUCAGGCUUCUCAAGAGAGAAUGGAGUAGAGCCGGACCCCCAUCUGGAAGGAGCCAAGAGAAGAUGCACACGUCAAGAGUAAAGGCACAGCUGGGAGGCCUGUAAUCCCAGCACUCUGGGAGGCUAAGGUAGGUGUAUCAUGAGGCGGGAGUUUGAGACCAGCCUGGCCAAGAUGGUGAAACCCUGCCUGUUCUAAAAAUACAAAAAUUGGCCGGGUGCAGUGGCUCACGUCUAUAAGCUCAUCCCAACAUUUUGGGAGGCUGAGGUGGGAUCAUAAGGUCAGGAGAUCGAGACCAUCCUGGCCAUGAUGAAAUCCCGUCUCUACUAAAAUACAAAAAAGUAGCCGGCGUGGUGCCAAGCACCUGUAGUACCAGCUACUCAGAAGGCUGAAGCUGAGAAUUGCUUAUACCCGGGAAGCGGAGGUCGCAGUGAGCCAAGAUCGCACCACUGCACUCCAGCCUGGUGAAAGAGCAAGACUCCAUCUCAAAAUAAAACAAAACAAAACUAGCCAAGCGUGGUGGCACACACCUGUAAUUCCAGCUACUCAGAAGGCUGAAGCUGAGAAUUGCUUAUACCCAGGAAGCGGAGGUUGCAGUGAGCCAAGAUCGCACCACUGCACUCCAGCCUGGUGAGAGAGCAAGACUCCUCUCAAAAAUAAAAAAAGAGUGAAGGCACCACAGAUGGCAGCUCCUCUGCUGAGUGGACCACGGAGACUGAGGAAGGCAGAGAGGCCGCCCUGGGACACAGCCAGCAGUCCGUGUUGUGGUGACCAGAGCCCCAUUCCUUCUGCUUCCUCCAUGGCUGCCACACACCCAGGAGCCCCGGCAGUGCCUGAACCAGUCCCAUGCCAAGCCGGGGAGCAGCUGCAUCCCAAGACCAGGCUACCCAUGCCUCCUGGUCAGCAGGCCCUUCAACUGCACCUUCUUCCUUUCCCCAAACCACUCAUUCCUAUGCCCAACCAGCUGGCCGAGAGUCACACGACAGGGUGCCAGGACCUAUGCGGGAGGGUGGGGACGUGUGAUGGCUGAACACGAAUCUGACCCAGGAAGAGCUAGGAGCCUGGUGGGGAACAUAGGCAGACAGACGUGCAGGAGCCCCACCAAUCGCCACUCCAUCUGCCAAAGGCACUUUUCGGUGAGUACCAAAGCCCCUGAACUUUUCCAUUCACUUCCAGAAAUAUGACACUCAGCACUAGUGAGCCACGGACAAAGUCACUUGAUCAGAGACCCUUGGGUUGGGGCAUCCAGUUGGGAUUCCGACUCCGGGCCCCUCCCCUCCCUCGGCCAGGCUGCCCAAACCACUGCUCCCCCUCAGGACAAGGGGCCCAGGGCUUCUCUGGAGAACUAUAAAUGCCCAGAGCAGUCAAGUCAGGAUAUUCACAAUAGAGAGACAGAGGCACAGGGAAGGGGUCUAGGAAGGGAGAGGCCCCAAGAGAAGGAAUGAGGAAGAGGGAGUCUCCUCCCUUGGCGAGGGCAGUGAGAAAGGUGGGCAGACAGGCUGGGGCACCGUGAAAUUCCUCAGCAAGUGAGAGGCCCCCCACUCCGAGAGCUGGGUGGGAUCCAGCAGGCCCCUGCUGACUCCAGACUCAACCCGAGAUGACCACUCUGGCCUGGCUCAAGGCAAGGAUGCCUUGACAGCUGGACCUCAGCGGGGACUAGGAAAGGAUGCCCUAGCCUCCCUCUCUCCUGCUUCCCCAGUAAACUCCAAAGUCUGGUCCACACACAGAAGGCUGUUUACCAGACCUAGAUCCGAAGUGCCUCUCCAGCGCUUCUUCCUCCACGACACUUGCCAGGCACCCUAUAGAACCUGGUCUGGCCCCGUCGACUUCACCUCUCCACUUGCCGGUGCUUGCUGGGACACGCCAGGCCCCUUCUCACCCUAGGCCUUUGUACAUCUGGCUCCUUCUGCCUGGAAUGCUCAUCUUGCAACAUCCCGGGACUGGCUGCUUCUCCAUCAGGCUUUGGCUAACGGCAGCGCCGCCCCGACCCCUGGCCAGUACUCACUUUUUCUUUUACAGCAUAUACCGCCGCUCCCCAUGAUUCUAUCUGUUGUCAAUCCCUCCACCCUGUCUGUCUAGACCAGGGACAGGGGGUGUUGGCCCGCAGGAGACAUUUGCCAAUGCCUGGAGACUUUUGUUAUCGCAACUGAGGAAGUGGGGGUGUUUACUGGUAUCUAGCGGGCAGGGGCUAGGCAGGCUGCUCCACAUCCUACAAUGUUCAGGGCAGCCCCUCGCAGCAAAGAGAGACCCGGGCCGCGUGGUCGAUGGUGCGGAGGUUGGGGACCCCUGCAGCAGACACCGAGCUCAGGAGAACUGGGACGAUGUUCUCCGCAGUCUUCCAGCGCCCAGAACAGUGUAUGGCACGCGGGCGGCUCGGGGAAUGCAGGAAGAAGGAAUGAGUAAAGAACGCGCGAGGACAGGACGGAGCGAGCGACGGACAAAUGACAGGCGGACGGACAGCGACCCGGACCCGGACCCCGAACGUCUCAGCCCCGCCCCGCCCCCCCGGCCCGACCCACGACCUCGCCUCUCCUAGACUUCGACGCGCCAGAUUCCGCCCCACCGCGCGGCCCCGGGCCGGGCGCGUCGCGGGGACACUCACCCGCCCGCGGCCACCUGGGAGCCGUAGCGCCGCCGGCCCGCUUCAUGAUGCCCCCUCGGCCGCCGGCCGGGAAAGGGACAAGCGAGCCGGAAGCGCCCGGCCGCUUCGCCCGCCGGGACUUGUAGUUCCCCGCCUCUCGGGGCUCGGGCAGCUGCCUCACGCGCGGCAUUUCCGAAACUACGACUUCCGGCGGCCCCGUCGUCGCAGGGCGGGAUUGGCGGCUUCAGAAUCACUCUAUGUUGCAGAUCGAAGUCUCAUUGGCUCUACUUAUCCGUCACUCACGGUUAGGCUUCACGGAUUCUGCAUAAGGGAGGUGCUUCAGGUCUGGGUCCAAGAGACCGCCUCCAAAAGAAAUGCCAAGGUACGAUUGGUGAAAAUAACACGGUUAGGACGUGGAGCGUAUCAGCGGCAAUAAAAGGCGGGCACUUCCGCCGGGAAUUGCCCAAUGACAGAGGUAGGACAGUUUCUAUAAAAGCUUCAGCCUGCGGUGCGUCCGUUCUUUUGGGCUAGACCGCGAGGCGUUGUGUUAAUGUUAGAUUGUGCCAUGUGCUACUAACCGGGGAAGAACUGGGCUACGAACGUAUCUUUGCGGGAGGGCCGAACGCUGCAGGCCGGCCCGGUCCCCGGGCAUCCAGCCCUGGCCUACGCUCCACUUUGUCCCUGAGCGUUUAAACCUUACUUCCUGAAUCUCAGACCCACAGCUCCUUGCAGGUUUCAUCGUGAGCCGGCUGCAAAUUUUGAACCUAAGUAAACCUCAGUCUGGAGGGCCUAGUGGUAAGGUGGGCGCUGUGUCUAUUCGAGGUGCUUAGCAAUAAAACAAAGGCAGUGAGUUGA
Molecule: non-coding RNA, 6427 nt
Organism: Callithrix jacchus (white-tufted-ear marmoset)
Lineage: Eukaryota; Metazoa; Chordata; Mammalia; Primates; Cebidae
Source: RefSeq, a predicted model, not a curated record